Molecule: ribosomal RNA, 373 nt
Filed under: uncultured organism
Description: partial 16S ribosomal RNA
Rfam family: Bacterial small subunit ribosomal RNA
Source: RNAcentral
GUAGGUGGCAAGCGUUGUCCGGAAUUAUUGGGCGUAAAGCGCGCGCAGGGCGGUCCUUUAAGUCUGAUGUGAAAGCCCACGGCUCAACCGUGGAGGGUCAUUGGAAACUGGGGGACUUGAGUACAGAAGAGGAAAGCGGAAUUCCAAGUGUAGCGGUGAAAUGCGUAGAGAUUUGGAGGAACACCAGUGGCGAAGGCGGCUUUCUGGUCUGUAACUGACGCUGAGGCGCGAAAGCGUGGGGAGCAAACAGGAUUAGAUACCCUGGUAGUCCACGCCGUAAACGAUGAGUGCUAAGUGUUAGGGGGUUUCCGCCCCUUAGUGCUGCGGCUAACGCAUUAAGCACUCCGCCUGGGGAGUACGGCCGCAAAGGCUG